This 229-nucleotide long non-coding RNA is filed under the name Salvia miltiorrhiza (redroot sage). RNAcentral describes it as "long non-coding RNA (SMIL_LNC009775)". Lineage: Eukaryota; Viridiplantae; Streptophyta; Magnoliopsida; Lamiales; Lamiaceae. The record is from RNAcentral.
CCAACCUCUUCCCCUUUGCCAGCCGCUCACCCAAUGGUCGUAGCCCCUAAGCCAUCUCUGAAAACCCUAGGCACCAACAGUCGUUCUUCCCUCUUCGAACCCACGACCAUGUCCGCCACCGCGACGACCCCUCUUCCAGCGAGGGCAGAAGUCUGAACGGCGGCGGACUAAACGGCGCCGGAUGCCACCGUCGGUCAACGGAGGGAAUAUAAUGAGAUGGGGAAGAGAA